GCCCUUAGAGUUUGAUCCUGGCUCAGAUUGAACGCUGGCGGCAUGCCUAACACAUGCAAGUCGAACGGUAACGGGAACUAGCUUGCUAGUUUGCUGACGAGUGGCGGACGGGUGAGUAACACGUAGGAAUCUGCCCUGCAGCGGGGGAUAGCCCGGGGAAACUCGGAUUAAUACCGCAUACGCUCUACGGAGGAAAGAGGGCCUCUUCUUGAAAGCUCUCACUGCAGGAUGAGCCUACGUCCGAUUAGCUAGUUGGUAGGGUAAAGGCCUACCAAGGCAACGAUUGGUAGCUGGUCUGAGAGGAUGAUCAGCCACACCGGGACUGAGACACGGCCCGGACUCCUACGGGAGGCAGCAGUGGGGAAUAUUGGACAAUGGGCGCAAGCCUGAUCCAGCAAUGCCGCGUGUGUGAAGAAGGCCUGCGGGUUGUAAAGCACUUUUAUUGGGGAAGAAACGGCCUGGGCUAAUACCCCAUGGUAAUUGACGGUAGCCAAGGAAUAAGCACCGGCUAACUCCGUGC
This 520-nucleotide ribosomal RNA is filed under the name uncultured Gammaproteobacteria bacterium. Its description in RNAcentral is "bacterial SSU rRNA". It matches the Rfam family "Bacterial small subunit ribosomal RNA", at positions 1 to 508 of the family's 1533-position model. The record is from RNAcentral. Lineage: Bacteria; Pseudomonadati; Pseudomonadota; Gammaproteobacteria.